CGUUAUGGCGGCUGUGCGUGAGGCCCUUUCGGGUGCGCGGGGUUCGUUGAUUCCUGGUCUGCUAACCCGCGUACAGGUGCUACCGUG
This 87-nucleotide non-coding RNA is filed under the name Pseudomonas fluorescens. Lineage: Bacteria; Pseudomonadati; Pseudomonadota; Gammaproteobacteria; Pseudomonadales; Pseudomonadaceae. The record is from RNAcentral.